AUGCAUGUCUUUGACAGACCUGGAGCGAUUAUGUCUGCUUUUAAGGUUUCUACUAAGAUGCAAGAAAAAAUUUCCUCACACUUUCUCCCUGCCUGAUUGUGGCCGUCUAGAAUAGGGGAAUACAAGA
Molecule: small nucleolar RNA, 127 nt
Filed under: Phascolarctos cinereus (koala)
Lineage: Eukaryota; Metazoa; Chordata; Mammalia; Diprotodontia; Phascolarctidae
Description: Small nucleolar RNA SNORA31 (ENSPCIG00000006668.2)
Rfam family: Small nucleolar RNA SNORA31
About the family: ACA31 (SNORA31) belongs to the H/ACA class of snoRNAs which are thought to guide the sites of modification of uridines to pseudouridines. ACA31 is predicted to guide the pseudouridylation of U3713 in 28S rRNA and U218 in 18S rRNA.
Source: Rfam by way of RNAcentral